CAGCUUGGAGCCUGGUUUCCUGUUGCUCAUGAAUGGCAAGCUGAGAAAUAAACUACGGGCUUUAUUAUUGGGAUUCUAGAUUUCGAGUCAUAAGUAGAAAGACCUUCGCCCACUCUGAGGUUAUAAAGAGGAAACAAACUCCUGUCGAGGAUCUACAGGGAGAAGUAGACUAGAGCAUUAUUAGCAUCAUCAUUAUUCUGGCUGGAGCAAUUGCACUUAUCAUCGGUUUUGGUA
Molecule: long non-coding RNA, 234 nt
Organism: Eubalaena glacialis (North Atlantic right whale)
Lineage: Eukaryota; Metazoa; Chordata; Mammalia; Artiodactyla; Balaenidae
Exons: 4
Source: RefSeq, a predicted model, not a curated record